UAGUUUAAGCACUAUCUUUGCAUUCAUAUAAUAGUUUAAGCACCAUCUUUUACAUUCUAUAUCAAUAUAUUCAAAGUAAGCAGUGACAAACUAAUCUAUAAUAUUCAACCAACCAUUAAUUCUGAGCAACAUAAAUCAUGACCAUUUACUUUUAUCUAUAUUAAGAACCUCCUUAAAGUCCUUAGAAUUAGAUAAUACCCCACAACUCCUAGAAAGAGAAUACAUAUAUCAAUCAGCAAGUCAGCAAAUCUUACCUGUGCAUGCAUUGUUUUCACUAUACAGUAUACUCUGCUUUUAUGCAUGGGUCCACCAUUGUGUGCAAUACAUUCAUGGUAAGAGUUGUUCAGUCAUAUCACUAGCAAUUGACCGUAGCAUUUCUCAAAUACAAAUGCAAAUGAGAAAUUAGUGUCUGAUGGUAUGCCAGGUCCAUAUUGUAGCUUAGCAUGCUCCAUUAUGCGCAGAAUCAUAGACAGCGUGAAAUGUUGGCCAUGAUAAUGACCUGUGUGAGAAACUGACCUAUCAAUACUAAAUCAGUCAAGCCAAUACU
This 547-nucleotide unclassified non-coding RNA is filed under the name Hevea brasiliensis (rubber tree). The record is from RNAcentral. Lineage: Eukaryota; Viridiplantae; Streptophyta; Magnoliopsida; Malpighiales; Euphorbiaceae.